RNAcentral lists this ribosomal RNA (1435 nucleotides) under uncultured organism. RNAcentral describes it as "SSU rRNA". It matches the Rfam family "Bacterial small subunit ribosomal RNA". The record is from RNAcentral.
UUACAGGCUUAACACAUGCAAGUCGAGGGGCAGCAUUUUAGUUUGCUUGCAAACUGAAGAUGGCGACCGGCGCACGGGUGAGUAACACGUAUCCAACCUGCCGAUAACUCCGGGAUAGCCUUUCGAAAGAAAGAUUAAUACCGGAUAGCAUACGAAUAUCGCAUGAUAUUUUUAUUAAAGAAUUUCGGUUAUCGAUGGGGAUGCGUUCCAUUAGUUUGUUGGCGGGGUAACGGCCCACCAAGACUACGAUGGAUAGGGGUUCUGAGAGGAAGGUCCCCCACAUUGGAACUGAGACACGGUCCAAACUCCUACGGGAGGCAGCAGUGAGGAAUAUUGGUCAAUGGGCGCGAGCCUGAACCAGCCAAGUAGCGUGAAGGAUGAAGGCUCUAUGGGUCGUAAACUUCUUUUAUAUGGGAAUAAAGUUUUCCACGUGUGGAAUUUUGUAUGUACCAUAUGAAUAAGGAUCGGCUAACUCCGUGCCAGCAGCCGCGGUAAUACGGAGGAUCCGAGCGUUAUCCGGAUUUAUUGGGUUUAAAGGGAGCGUAGGUGGAUUGUUAAGUCAGUUGUGAAAGUUUGCGGCUCAACCGUAAAAUUGCAGUUGAAACUGGCAGUCUUGAGUACAGUAGAGGUGGGCGGAAUUCGUGGUGUAGCGGUGAAAUGCUUAGAUAUCACGAAGAACUCCGAUUGCGAAGGCAGCUCACUAGACUGUCACUGACACUGAUGCUCGAAAGUGUGGGUAUCAAACAGGAUUAGAUACCCUGGUAGUCCACACAGUAAACGAUGAAUACUCGCUGUUUGCGAUAUACAGUAAGCGGCCAAGCGAAAGCAUUAAGUAUUCCACCUGGGGAGUACGCCGGCAACGGUGAAACUCAAAGGAAUUGACGGGGGCCCGCACAAGCGGAGGAACAUGUGGUUUAAUUCGAUGAUACGCGAGGAACCUUACCCGGGCUUAAAUUGCAACAGAAUAUAUUGGAAACAGUAUAGCCGUAAGGCUGUUGUGAAGGUGCUGCAUGGUUGUCGUCAGCUCGUGCCGUGAGGUGUCGGCUUAAGUGCCAUAACGAGCGCAACCCUUAUCUUUAGUUACUAACAGGUCAUGCUGGGGACUCUAGAGAGACUGCCGUCGUAAGAUGUGAGGAAGGUGGGGAUGACGUCAAAUCAGCACGGCCCUUACGUCCGGGGCUACACACGUGUUACAAUGGGGGGUACAGAAGGCGGCUACCUGGUGACAGGAUGCUAAUCCCAAAAACCCCUCUCAGUUCGGAUCGAAGUCUGCAACCCGACUUCGUGAAGCUGGAUUCGCUAGUAAUCGCGCAUCAGCCAUGGCGCGGUGAAUACGUUCCCGGGCCUUGUACACACCGCCCGUCAAGCCAUGAAAGCCGGGGGUACCUGAAGUACGUAACCGCAAGGAGCGUCCUAGGGUAAAACUGGUAAUUGG